Molecule: ribosomal RNA, 253 nt
Filed under: uncultured bacterium
Lineage: Bacteria
Description: partial 16S ribosomal RNA
Rfam family: Bacterial small subunit ribosomal RNA
Source: RNAcentral
UACGUAGGGAGCUAGCGUUGUCCGGAAUCAUUGGGCGUAAAGCGCGUGUAGGCGGCCCGGUAAGUCCGCUGUGAAAGUCGGGGGCUCAACCCUCGGAUGCCGGUGGAUACUGUCGGGCUUGAGUACGGAAGAGGCGAGUGGAAUUCCUGGUGUAGCGGUGAAAUGCGCAGAUAUCAGGAGGAACACCAAUUGCGAAGGCAGCUCGCUGGGACGUAACUGACGCUGAGACGCGAAAGCGUGGGGAGCAAACAGG